CCUACGGGAGGCAGCAGUGGGGAAUAUUGCACAAUGGGGGAAACCCUGAUGCAGCGACGCCGCGUGAGUGAAGAAGCGCCUCGGCGCGUAAAGCUCUGUCAGCAGGAACGACGAUGACGGUACCUGAAGAAGAAGCUACGGCUAACUACGGUCCAGCAGCCGCGGUACUACGUAGGGGGCCAGCGUUAUCCGGAUUUACUGGGUGUAAGGGGAGCGUAGAUGGCGGGGCAAGUCAGGAGUGAAAGGCCGGGGCCCAACCCGGGGACCGCACUGGAAACUGGCAGGCUGGAGUGCGGGAGAGGUAGGCGGAAUUCGUGGUGUAGCGGUGAAAUGCGUAGAUAUUAGGAGGAACACCGGCGGCGAAGGCGGCUUACUGGACCGUGACUGACGUUGAGGCUCGAAAGCGUGGGGAGCAAACAGGAUUAGAUACCCCUGUAGUC
This 440-nucleotide ribosomal RNA is filed under the name uncultured bacterium. Its description in RNAcentral is "partial 16S ribosomal RNA". It matches the Rfam family "Bacterial small subunit ribosomal RNA", at positions 338 to 795 of the family's 1533-position model. The record is from RNAcentral.